Sorghum bicolor (sorghum) is the source of this 821-nucleotide long non-coding RNA. RefSeq lists it as uncharacterized. The transcript has 3 exons. The record is from RefSeq and is a predicted model, not a curated record. Lineage: Eukaryota; Viridiplantae; Streptophyta; Magnoliopsida; Poales; Poaceae.
GUCGUCAAAGUUCUUGUGACUGUCUAUGGACCAUUGCAGAGGGAGUCCAAAACAGCACUAAUCAUCUCAGUAGUUGCUUUUGUUCUGCAAAUCCUAUCCCAAUUGAUACCUCUAGUUACCGUGUGCCCGCUGCUCCUGUCAAUGGUAUAUCCUCCUCUGAUUGACCAAAGGCCUGAGCACAUCAACUCAAGGAAGCUGACUGUGUUCUCAAGGGUUGGUAGCUUUGGGCUUUCACUAUUUUGGGUCUCAUAUUGCAGUAUGACAUAUGAGCAUGACUAUUUUCAGCUUGCAAACGAUGUUGGAGCCGCCUUGUCAUUUCUGAGCAUGAUACUCCACCUGGUAUACACGCUACGUCCACAUAAUCUCGACUAUCCUCCAGCUCCAUAAGCACACACAAAGACUUGGAGAGCAGACUAGGCAAUAGUUUGGGGAAGGGGAAGUAGAUGCCGAGAAGGAAUACGAGGUAUUCAGUCGUCAGGGGCUAGCUACCAAUGACUUGCUGUUUGUCUCCAGAACCAUCAAUCGGCCAUCUAAGGGCCAUCGACAAAUGUCAUCACAUUAUUAGCACCUAAGAACGCUUACCUUGUAAUUGCAUUAGUACUAAACUUAUUUUGGCCUGUAACUUAUUCCCCACCCAGCCGUGUACUUAGGCAGGGGAAAACUGCUAUCUGAGACAUCACGAAUAUGACUGAACCCUUUCCUUAGCAGUAGUUGUAGAGGCCGCCGUCGCCAUGGCGAGCUAGGGAUCUAUGUACUGCUGUUUCCAAUACAAUUUCAGCUGCUGCUGUGAGAUUCUGGGUUCUGAAUUCAUGUGAUCGUGC